RNAcentral lists this ribosomal RNA (367 nucleotides) under uncultured organism. RNAcentral describes it as "bacterial LSU rRNA". It matches the Rfam family "Bacterial large subunit ribosomal RNA", at positions 2099 to 2465 of the family's 2925-position model. The record is from RNAcentral.
CUUUACUGCAACUUGGCAGUGAUUUUCGGGAUGUUCUGCGUAGGAUAGGUGGGAGGCUUUGAGGCCGGGCUUCUGGGUUCGGCGGAGCCAACGUUGAAAUACCACCCUGGAUAUUCUGGAAAUCUAACCUGGGCCCUUUGACGGGGUCGGGGACACUGCCUGGUGGGCAGUUUGACUGGGGCGGUCGCCUCCUAAAAAGUAACGGAGGCGUGCGAAGGUUCCCUCAGCCUGAUUGGAAACCAGGCGUAGAGUGCAAACGCACAAGGGAGCUUAACUGUGAGACCGACAGGUCGAACAGGUGCGAAAGCAGGCGUUAGUGAUCCGGUGGUUCUGUAUGGAAGGGCCAUCGCUCAUCGGAUAAAAGGUA